Molecule: unclassified non-coding RNA, 204 nt
Filed under: uncultured fungus
Lineage: Eukaryota; Fungi
Description: sequence contains ITS1
Source: RNAcentral
GUGUUACAAUCACAUUAAAGUAUAUGCAUAGCAUUCAGUCAAUUGAGUUUGUUAAGAAACAUAGACAGAGCUUGAAUAAGACCCUGCCUACAGAAGGUGCACAGGGUGGAUAUUGGUUUUGUUAAGAGUGCACUACUGCCCCACAGGAGCCAGCACAUCUUUUUAAAAUCAAUAAUGAUCCUUCCGCAGGUUCACCUACGGAAA